Molecule: ribosomal RNA, 430 nt
Filed under: uncultured bacterium
Lineage: Bacteria
Description: partial 16S ribosomal RNA
Rfam family: Bacterial small subunit ribosomal RNA
Source: RNAcentral
AACGAACGCUGGCGGCAUGCCUAACACAUGCAAGUCGAACGAGACCUUCGGGUCUAGUGGCGCACGGGUGCGUAACGCGUGGGAACCUGCCCUUAGGUUCGGAAUAACUCCCCGAAAGGGGUGCUAAUACCGGAUAAUGUCUUCGGACCAAAGAUUUAUCGCCUUUGGAUGGGCCCGCGUUGGAUUAGCUAGUUGGUAGGGUAAAAGCCUACCAAGGCGACGAUCCAUAGCUGGUCUGAGAGGAUGAUCAGCCACACUGGGACGGAGACACGGCCCAGGCUAGUCAGGAGGGGGGAAGUGGGGAAUAUUGGACGAUGGGCGAAGGCCUAAUGCAGCAAUGCGGAGGAAGGGAUGAGGGCUUUAGGGUUGUAAAGCUUUUUUACACGGGAUGGUAAUGACAGUGGCGAGAGAAUAAGCGCCGAAUAACUCG